RNAcentral lists this ribosomal RNA (360 nucleotides) under Triticum aestivum (bread wheat). RNAcentral describes it as "partial small subunit ribosomal RNA". The record is from RNAcentral. Lineage: Eukaryota; Viridiplantae; Streptophyta; Magnoliopsida; Poales; Poaceae.
AUGCUCUUCGUAAUGGAGAUCGACACAGGGAACAAGGGCAAGGAGGUGGUGCCACCCAUGGUGAAGGACAAAGAGGUGGUGCCGCCCAUGGAGGUUGUGCCAACCAUGCCUGAGGAGGUGGCCACGGAUGACUACGUGGUGUCAGAGGAGCCCCCUAGCGGGAAGCGCUGGAACUACAAGCACUACCAUGAGGAGGGUCCAACCCACUUCUGCAAAGUGAUCCUUGCCCCUCAGCUUGAGUGCAUCCUGAUGCCCCUGGACUUCAGCAAGCACUUUCCGGCUGUGCCGCAAGACUUCAAACUGAUAAGAACACCGACUGCUCAUGGAGGGUCACUAUCCGACCGAUGGACGACAAGGUGA